GGCCUUCGGGUUGUAAACCUCUUUCAGUAGGGAAGAAGCGAAAGUGACGGUACCUGCAGAAGAAGCGCCGGCUAACUACGUGCCAGCAGCCGCGGUAAUACGUAGGGCGCAAGCGUUAUCCGGAAUUAUUGGGCGUAAAGAGCUCGUAGGCGGUUUGUCGCGUCUGCUGUGAAAUCCCGAGGCUCAACCUCGGGCCUGCAGUGGGUACGGGCAGACUGGAGUGCGGUAGGGGAGAAUGGAAUUCCUGGUGUAGCGGUGGAAUGCGCAGAUAUCAGGAGGAACACCGAUGGCGAAGGCAGUUCUCUGGGCCGUAACUGACGCUGAGGAGCGAAAGCGUGGGGAGCGAACAGGAUUAGAUACCCUGGUAGUCCACGCCGUAAACGUUGGGCGCUAGAUGUGGGGACCUUUCCACGGUUUCCGUGUCGUAGCUAACGCAUUAAGCGCCCCGCCUGGGGAGUACGGCCGCAAGGCUAAAACUCAAAGGAAUUGACGGGGGCCCGCACAAGCGGCGGAGCAUGCGGAUUAAUUCGAUGCAACGCGAAGAACCUUACCAAGGCUUGACAUAACCGAGAACGCCGCAGAAAUGUGGAACUCUUUGGACACUCGGUUACAGGUGGUGCAUGGUUGUCGUCAGCUCGUGUCGUGAGAUGUUGGGUUAAGUCCCGCAACGAGCGCAACCCUCGUCGCAUGUUGCCAGCACGUCA
Molecule: ribosomal RNA, 704 nt
Filed under: uncultured Leifsonia sp.
Lineage: Bacteria; Bacillati; Actinomycetota; Actinomycetes; Micrococcales; Microbacteriaceae
Description: bacterial SSU rRNA
Rfam family: Bacterial small subunit ribosomal RNA
Source: RNAcentral